Weissella confusa LBAE C39-2 is the source of this 153-nucleotide non-coding RNA. NCBI's taxonomy places the organism in Bacteria, Bacillati, Bacillota, Bacilli, Lactobacillales, Lactobacillaceae. The record is from Rfam.
AUAACCUUUUAAAUUUUUAGUCCCGUGAGGCUACAAAGGGUUGCGUUGAUUAGGGGUACAGGGGAAAUUCAACACUCGCAUGGGGAAGGACUACCACCAGACUAAUCAGAAGCACAGCCUCGUGAAUCACUGGAUUCACGAGGCUUUUUUAUU